RNAcentral lists this ribosomal RNA (468 nucleotides) under uncultured bacterium. RNAcentral describes it as "partial 16S ribosomal RNA". It matches the Rfam family "Bacterial small subunit ribosomal RNA", at positions 28 to 507 of the family's 1533-position model. The record is from RNAcentral.
GACGAACGCUUUCUUCUUUCUUAACACAUGCAAGUCGAACGGAAAGGCCCUGCUUUUGUGGGGUGCUCGAGUGGCGAACGGGUGAGUAACACGUGAGUAACCUGCCCUUGACUUUGGGAUAACUUCAGGAAACUGGGGCUAAUACCGGAUAGGAGCUCCUGCUGCAUGGUGGGGGUUGGAAAGUUUCGGCGGUUGGGGAUGGACUCGCGGCUUAUCAGCUUGUUGGUGGGGUAGUGGCUUACCAAGGCUUUGACGGUUAGCCGGCCUGAGAGGGUGACCGGCCACAUUGGGACUGAGAUACGGCCCAGACUCCUACGGGAGGCAGCAGUGGGGAAUAUUGCACAAUGGGCGGAAGCCUGAUGCAGCAACGCCGCGUGCGGGAUGACGGCAUUCGGGUUGUAAACCGCUUUCGCCUGUGACGAAGCGUGAGUGACGGUAAUGGGUAAAGAAGCAAAGGAUAACUACGGG